CCUACGGGUGGCAGCAGUGGGGAAUAUUGGACAAUGGGCGAAAGCCUGAUCCAGCCAUGCCGCGUGUGUGAAGAAGGCCUUCGGGUUGUAAAGCACUUUCAGUGGGGAAGAAAGCCUUGGGGCUAAUACCCUCGAGGAAGGACAUCACCCACAGAAGAAGCACCGGCUAACUCCGUGCCAGCAGCCGCGGUAAUACGGAGGGUGCGAGCGUGAAUCGGAAUUACUGGGCGUAAAGCGCGCGUAGGCGGUCUGAUAAGCCGGUUGUGAAAGCCCCGGGCUCAACCUGGGAACGGCAUCCGGAACUGUCAGGCUAGAGUGCAGGAGAGGAAGGUAGAAUUCCCGGUGUAGCGGUGAAAUGCGUAGAGAUCGGGAGGAAUACCAGUGGCGAAGGCGGCCUUCUGGACUGACACUGACGCUGAGGUGCGAAAGCGUGGGUAGCAAACAGGAUUAGAUACCCUAGUAGG
Molecule: ribosomal RNA, 464 nt
Filed under: Vreelandella stevensii
Lineage: Bacteria; Pseudomonadati; Pseudomonadota; Gammaproteobacteria; Oceanospirillales; Halomonadaceae
Description: partial 16S ribosomal RNA
Rfam family: Bacterial small subunit ribosomal RNA
Source: RNAcentral